CCUACGGGUGGCAGCAGUGAGGAAUAUUGGUCAAUGGGCGAGAGCCUGAACCAGCCAAGUCGCGUGAGGGAGUACUGUCCUAUGGGUUGUAAACCUCUUUUGUCGGGGAGCAAAAGCCGGACGUGUCCGGCUGUGAGAGUACCCGAAGAAAAAGCAUCGGCUAACUCCGUGCCAGCAGCCGCGGUAAUACGGAGGAUGCGAGCGUUAUCCGGAUUUAUUGGGUUUAAAGGGUGCGCAGGCGGAUUUUUAAGUCAGCGGUAAAAUCGUGGGGCUCAACCCCAUCCAGCCGUUGAAACUGGGGAUCUAGAGUGUGCGAGAGGUAUGCGGAAUGCGUGGUGUAGCGGUGAAAUGCAUAGAUAUCACGCAGAACCCCGAUUGCGAAGGCAGCAUACCGGUGCACAACUGACGCUCAGGCACGAAAGCGUGGGUAUCGAACAGGAUUAGAUACCCUGGUAGUC
RNAcentral lists this ribosomal RNA (458 nucleotides) under uncultured bacterium. RNAcentral's name for it is "partial 16S ribosomal RNA". It matches the Rfam family "Bacterial small subunit ribosomal RNA", at positions 338 to 795 of the family's 1533-position model. The record is from RNAcentral.